This 461-nucleotide ribosomal RNA is filed under the name uncultured bacterium. RNAcentral's name for it is "partial 16S ribosomal RNA". It matches the Rfam family "Bacterial small subunit ribosomal RNA", at positions 28 to 506 of the family's 1533-position model. The record is from RNAcentral.
GACGAACGCUGGCGGCGUGCUUAACACAUGCAAGUCGAACGGUGAAGCCCUUCGGGGUGGAUCAGUGGCGAACGGGUGAGUAACACGUGAGCAACCUGCCCCUGGCUCUGGGACAACCACUGGAAACGGUGGCUAAUACCGGAUACGACCCGCCUCGGCAUCGAGCGUGGGUGGAAAGUUUUUCGGCUGGGGAUGGGCUCGCGGCCUAUCAGCUUGUUGGUGAGGUGAAGGCUCACCAAGGCGACGACGGGUAGCCGGCCUGAGAGGGCGACCGGCCACACUGGGACUGGGACACGGCCCAGACUCCUACGGGAGGCAGCAGUGGGGAAUAUUGCACGAUGGGCGAAAGCCUGAUGCAGCGACGCCGCGUGAGGGAUGACGGCCUUCGGGUUGUAAACCUCUUUCAGCUCCGAAGAAGCGAAAGUGACGGUAGGAGCAGAAGAAGCACCGGCUAACUACGU